AGUCGAACGAUGACCCCCCGCUUGCGGGGGUGAUUAGUGGCGAACGGGUGAGUAACACGUGAGUAACCUGCCCUUGACUCUGGGAUAAGCCUGGGAAACCGGGUCUAAUACCGGAUAUGUACCCUUCACCGCAUGGUGGGGGGUGGAAAGCCUUGUGCGGUUUUGGAUGGACUCGCGGCCUAUCAGCUUGUUGGUGGGGUAAUGGCCCACCAAGGCGACGACGGGUAGCCGGCCUGAGAGGGUGACCGGCCACACUGGGACUGAGACACGGCCCAGACUCCUACGGGAGGCAGCAGUGGGGAAUAUUGCACAAUGGGCGCAAGCCUGAUGCAGCGACGCCGCGUGAGGGAUGACGGCCUUCGGGUUGUAAACCUCUUUCAGUAGGGAAGAAGCGAAAGUGACGGUACCUGCAGAAGAAGCGCCGGCUAACUACGUGCCAGCAGCCGCGGUAAUACGUAGGGCGCAAGCGUUAUCCGGAAUUAUUGGGCGUAAAGAGCUCGUAGGCGGUUUGUCGCGUCUGCCGUGAAAGUCCGGGGCUCAACCCCGGAUCUGCGGUGGGUACGGGCAGACUAGAGUGAUGUAGGGGAGACUGGAAUUCCUGGUGUAGCGGUGAAAUGCGCAGAUAUCAGGAGGAACACCGAUGGCGAAGGCAGGUCUCUGGGCAUUAACUGACGCUGAGGAGCGAAAGCAUGGGGAGCGAACAGGAUUAGAUACCCUGGUAGUCCAUGCCGUAAACGUUGGGCACUAGGUGUGGGGGACAUUCCACGUUUUCCGCGCCGUAGCUAACGCAUUAAGUGCCCCGCCUGGGGAGUACGGCCGCAAGGCUAAAACUC
This 833-nucleotide ribosomal RNA is filed under the name Arthrobacter pascens. RNAcentral describes it as "bacterial SSU rRNA". It matches the Rfam family "Bacterial small subunit ribosomal RNA", at positions 60 to 902 of the family's 1533-position model. The record is from RNAcentral. Lineage: Bacteria; Bacillati; Actinomycetota; Actinomycetes; Micrococcales; Micrococcaceae.